ACGCUCGACACCUACGAGGCAGCAGUGGGGAAUAUUGGGCAAUGGGCGCAAGCCUGACCCAGCAACGCCGCGUGAGUGAUGAAGGUCUUCGGAUUGUAAAACUCUUUAAGCAGGGAAGAAGAAAGUGACGGUACCUGCAGAAUAAGCAUCGGCUAACUACGUGCCGGCAGCCGCGGUAAUCUGAGCGGGCUGGCGAAGGC
This 200-nucleotide ribosomal RNA is filed under the name uncultured bacterium. Its description in RNAcentral is "partial 16S ribosomal RNA". It matches the Rfam family "Bacterial small subunit ribosomal RNA", at positions 326 to 540 of the family's 1533-position model. The record is from RNAcentral.